CAUGCAAGUCGACGGUGAGCCCAGCUUGCUGGGUGGAUCAGUGGCGAACGGGUGAGUAACACGUGAGCAACCUGCCCCUGACUCUGGGAUAAGCGCUGGAAACGGCGUCUAAUACUGGAUACGAGUAGCGACCGCAUGGUCAGUUACUGGAAAGAUUUAUUGGUUGGGGAUGGGCUCGCGGCCUAUCAGCUUGUUGGUGAGGUAAUGGCUCACCAAGGCGUCGACGGGUAGCCGGCCUGAGAGGGUGACCGGGCACACUGGGACUGAGACACGGCCCAGACUCCUACGGGAGGCAGCAGUGGGGAAUAUUGCACAAUGGGCGCAAGCCUGAUGCAGCAACGCCGCGUGAGGGAUGACGGCCUUCGGGUUGUAAACCUCUUUUAGCAGGGAAGAAGCGAAAGUGACGGUACCUGCAGAAAAAGCGCCGGCUAACUACGUGCCAGCAGCCGCGGUAAUACGUAGGGCGCAAGCGUUAUCCGGAAUUAUUGGGCGUAAAGAGCUCGUAGGCGGUUUGUCGCGUCUGCUGUGAAAUCCGGAGGCUCAACCUCCGGCCUGCAGUGGGUACGGGCAGACUAGAGUGCGGUAGGGGAGAUUGGAAUUCCUGGUGUAGCGGUGGAAUGCGCAGAUAUCAGGAGGAACACCGAUGGCGAAGGCAGAUCUCUGGGCCGUAACUGACGCUGAGGAGCGAAAGGGUGGGGAGCAAACAGGCUUAGAUACCCUGGUAGUCCACCCCGUAAACGUUUGGG
Molecule: ribosomal RNA, 746 nt
Filed under: Microbacterium phyllosphaerae
Lineage: Bacteria; Bacillati; Actinomycetota; Actinomycetes; Micrococcales; Microbacteriaceae
Description: bacterial SSU rRNA
Rfam family: Bacterial small subunit ribosomal RNA
Source: RNAcentral